RNAcentral lists this ribosomal RNA (463 nucleotides) under uncultured bacterium. RNAcentral's name for it is "partial 16S ribosomal RNA". It matches the Rfam family "Bacterial small subunit ribosomal RNA", at positions 28 to 507 of the family's 1533-position model. The record is from RNAcentral.
GAUGAACGCUGACAGAAUGCUUAACACAUGCAAGUCGAUGGGGAAGUGGUGCUUGCACCAUGGUAACCAUGGCGGACGGGUGAGUAACACGUAAGGAACUUACCUGCGGGACCGGGAUAACAGCAGGAAACUGCUGACAAGACCGGAUAAGGUCAUUAAGCUGCAUAGCUUAGCGAUGAAAGGAGACGCCUGCGGAGAGCCUUGCGUCCUAUUAGCUAGUUGGAGGGGUAACGGCCCACCAAGGCGAAGAUAGGUAGCCGUCCUGAGAGGGUGGACGGCCACAAGGGGACUGAGAGGCGGCCGUUAGUACUACGGGAGGCAGCAGUGGGGAAUAUUGGAGAAUGGGGGCAACCCUGAUCCAGCACUUCUGUGUGCAAGAAGACGGUUGUCGGAUUGUAAAGUGCUUUCAGAAGAGAAGAAGGAAGUGACGGUACCUGCAGAAGAAGCGACGGCUAAAUACGUG